AUUGAACGCUGGCGGCAUGCUUUACACAUGCAAGUCGAACGGUAACAGGGGCUUCGGUCUGCUGACGAGUGGCGAACGGGUGAGUAAUGCGUCGGAACGUGCCGAGUAAUGGGGGAUAACGCAUCGAAAGGUGUGCUAAUACCGCAUACGCUCUGAGGAGGAAAGCUGGGGAUCGAAAGACCUGGCGUUAUUCGAGCGGCCGACGUCUGAUUAGCUAGUUGGUGAGGUAAAGGCUCACCAAGGCGACGAUCAGUAGCGGGUCUGAGAGGAUGAUCCGCCACACUGGGACUGAGACACGGCCCAGACUCCUACGGGAGGCAGCAGUGGGGAAUUUUGGACAAUGGGCGCAAGCCUGAUCCAGCCAUGCCGCGUGUCUGAAGAAGG
This 384-nucleotide ribosomal RNA is filed under the name uncultured bacterium. Its description in RNAcentral is "bacterial SSU rRNA". It matches the Rfam family "Bacterial small subunit ribosomal RNA", at positions 30 to 414 of the family's 1533-position model. The record is from RNAcentral.